GAACCGGACGAACGUUAUUCGGAAUUAUUGGGCUUAAAGGGUGCGUAGGCGGCUUGGCAAGUUGGAUGUGAAAGCCCUCGGGCUCAACCGAGGAAUAGCGUCCAAAACUGCCAGACUCGAGGGAGACAGAGGCGAGCGGAACUUAGGGUGGAGCGGUGAAAUGCGUUGAUAUCCUAAGGAACACCAGUGGCGAAGGCGGCUCGCUGGGUCUCUUCUGACGCUGAGGCACGAAAGCUAGGGGAGCGAACGGGAUUAGAUACCCCGGUAGUCCUAGCUGUAAACGAUGAGCACUUGGUUGGAGGAUUUUCACUGAUUUUCCGGCCGUAGCGAAAGUGUUAAGUGCUCCGCCUGGGGAGUAUGGUCGCAAAGGCUG
Molecule: ribosomal RNA, 373 nt
Filed under: uncultured organism
Description: partial 16S ribosomal RNA
Rfam family: Bacterial small subunit ribosomal RNA
Source: RNAcentral